AGAUGGAUCAUUCAUGUAGUCUGCUACAGUGUACUUUGUGAGUUUGUGAAAUUCGAAUGCGAUGGUACCGUAUUGUUCUAUUAAAACUUACUUACAUAGAAAAAACGCUUUUCAGUGGUGGAUGUCUCGGCCUUGUGCACGAUAAAGGAUGCAGCAGUAUGUGAUAAAUAAUACGACCUGCAGUUUUUAGGGACUAAUUAAUAUUCUGAAUGCGAAAUGUACUCAUAAAAUUCUUUAUGAGUAUGUCUAUUUCAGUGCCGCUAUUUGCUUCUUCUGCGCAAGAUGUGUUUAUCUGCUGACAUUUUGGUGGAUAUUUAUCGUUAUUAUUAUAUUUGGGUAUAAUGCGUCGGAUGACUUGUAUUAUAAUAGCCUGAGGUUGGUCAAGAUAACUGACUGAAUUUAAGCAUAUUAAUAAGUCGUGGAAUAGAAAUUAACCAAGAUCUCCUUAGUAACGGCGAGUGAAAAGGGGUAGGCUCAAACUGAAAAUUGGUAAUGUUAAUUACUGAAUUGUAGUCUUUUGAAGUGUCGUUACCUUGGAAUUACUUGGGCUAGUUCUUUUGGAAAGGAGAGCAGCUAAGGGUGAAAGUCCCGUUUGAUGCUCAUGAUAAUUCUUAUUUGGUACGCUCUUACUGAGUCACGUUCCUUGAGAGUGGAAUGUAAAGAUGGUGGUAAACUUCAUCUAAGGCUAAAUAUUGAGAGGGCCCGAUAGUUUACAAGUACCGUGAGGGAAAGAUGAAAAGAACUUUGAAAAGGGAGUUAAAAGUAACUGAAACUGCUGAGAGUGAAGUGGAGGAAACUAAUAACUCAGUAGGGCUUCGCUGUUUCAAUUUAAAGUUGUAAUCAGUUGUAAGAGUCUACUGUGUUACUAACAAUAGUUGUUUUGUAUUAAGUGUCGGUCUUCAUUAUCUUGUUGGAUGUGUUUAUCGACACCUAAAAACAAUAAUAAUUCAAAUUACAGGGGAUUGGAUAAUUCAAUCCUUCUAAGUGUUAGAAUUAUUUUUCUCUGUCCCGUCUUGAAACACGGACCAAGGAGUCUAACAUGUACGCGAGUAUCUGGGUUUUUAAAACCUAAGUGCAGAAUAAAGGUGACUAUUAUCAGCUUUGAUACCUGGUUAGUAACUAAGGUUGAGUAUAUAGGUUAGUACCCGAAAGAUGGUGAACUAUGCCGGGGUAGGGUGAGGCCAGAGGAAACUCUGGUGGAGGCUCGUAGCGAUACUGACGUGCAAAUCGUUCGUCAAACUUUGGUAUAGGGGCGAAAGACUAAUCGAACUAUCUAGUAGCUGGUUCCUUC
This 1291-nucleotide unclassified non-coding RNA is filed under the name uncultured apicomplexan. RNAcentral's name for it is "sequence contains 18S rRNA gene, ITS1, 5.8S rRNA gene, ITS2, 28S rRNA gene". The stretch from base 367 to 1291 matches the Rfam family "Eukaryotic large subunit ribosomal RNA", at positions 1 to 961 of the family's 3401-position model. Lineage: Eukaryota; Apicomplexa. The record is from RNAcentral.